Chrysemys picta bellii (western painted turtle) is the source of this 4314-nucleotide long non-coding RNA. RefSeq lists it as uncharacterized. Lineage: Eukaryota; Metazoa; Chordata; Testudines; Emydidae. The record is from RefSeq and is a predicted model, not a curated record.
AGUCCUGCGGUAUAAGCUAUACCAGCAAAAGGACUCUUUUUGUCAAUAGUAACUCAGUCUACACUAAAAGGAUUGGCCGGUAUAGCUAUAGGGUCUGGGCCUUUCCCAAGGUCACACAGGAAGUCUAUGUUGGAGCAGAGAACUUAAAUUUGAGUCUCCUGAGUCCCAGGCUAGCACCCUGCCAACUGAACCUGGAUGAAAAAAAUCUAUAUUCGGGGGCCUAAUUUUAGGCCCCCCCAGGUCUGAAAAUAUUAGCCUUUGCUCUUAAUGUCUCUGUUUCUCAGUGUCCCCAUCUGUGAAAUGGAGGCAACAAUAUCUGGCUGCCAGGACUGUUGGGAUGAUUAAGGUUUGUGAAGCCCUUGGAGGUUCUCAGCGAAAAGGCAUUAUAGUUGUAACACCCGGCACAACAUCUGGGACAGCCGCAUAGCCAAAAAACCUGAUGUUUCAGAGGCCAUCCAUCCUGAAGACAUGAAAAAUCCUGCCAGAACCUUGAGUCUGAAACCAAAAGGCUGCAGUUAGUUACACAGGCUGCCAAUCUUCACCACUGUAUUGAAUGGCCUAUCUGCUCCUCCGAAUUGAUCAUGCAAGGAAGUAACAAUGUUGACUCUACGAUGUCAUAAUUCUUCUGGAAACAGCCUAUGAUGUCAUCAGUACAGGAGCUUGAUGUCAUAAAAUAGCACUAAGGGAAACUAUGUUAACAGAGAGAGUGUUUCUUUAAAGUUCUAUGUAAAAUGCAUAGACCGUUCUGACAAACAGCCAGAUUUGGAUCCCCUUAAAAAUGUUAAGUAGUAUUUUACUUGGCGAGUAAUCCCACUGAUUUCAAUGGGGCUAGUCAAAGAGUAAGAUACUUCUCGAUGUGAGUACAAGUAUCAGAAUCUGGCCCUUAGUAAGUUGCUUUUUGUACAGAUGUUCUCUCUCACCCCAUCCCCAGCUCUGCACCACUAUAAUAAUCCCUCUUGGGGAAAAAAGUGUCUUUCAGUUGGCAUACGUAAUGGAAAGGAGCCUGGAAAGGACAUUUCUCCAGGAAGAAUAAGGUGCUUGCUUGCUCUUUCCUUGAUCAUAAACCUCUGAUACUUUUUCCACUUUCAAAUACCAAGAACUGUUUCAGAAGUAGUUUCCUAUAACUUUACCAGUCGCUGCAGAUCUCUAACACAAUACAGAUUCUGUCAAAGGAAGGAAGGGGUCAGCUCACGCAGUGCUCAGUGAUUUUCAGUUAGAAACACACCCACACGAGGAAGGGUAAACUUAAUGCUAAUAUCCAGACAAACUCCCCCUCCUCCUCCCAUGUCACUAAGGCAUCUACAUAUAUAUCUAUCAAUAACGUGGAGAGGAAAAUUAAUAGAGCGCAGUAAUUGUUUAAAACACAGACAUCGGAAAGCCAAGAAACUCAAAGUUAAAGUGCAUUGCAAAAACAAACAAAUGCUGGAAAAUAGAAAUGCGGAGUUAAGGUACUUCAAACAACCUUAACUCUGCCCUUCUACCCCACUACCUUGUGCAUGCCCCAGAUAAGAGAUAUCUGUCCAACUAUUGCAGCCAGUUGAUAUAUUCAGACCUAGAUAUCUGCUUUUAAUCUCAAUAUUUGUAUAGACCUGAUUGCUGUAUUGUCUGAGUGCUUCACAAAUAUUACUGAUUGAUUCUCAAAACUCCCCUGUGAGAUAGAAAGUGCUGUUAUCUGCAUUUUACAGACUAAGGAAAAAGGCCCAGAUCCUUAAAGUUAUUUAGGCACCUAUAUAACCCAUUGAUUUGAAUGGGGGUUACAUAUCUAUAUAUCUUUGAGGCUCCAGGCCUAAGUGACUUGCCCAAGGUCACACAGGAAGUCUGUAGCAGAGUCAAUAGUUGAACUGAGAUCUCCUGAAUCCCAGACCAGUGCCUUAACCACAAGGCCAUCCUUUGUCUCUUGCUAAUUCACUUGACACAGCCCAAGCAGCUAGAGACCCUUCAAACCUGUAUACUUUGGCAUUUCAUCUCUGACAGUCCAUGGAGCACGAGGGGAAGCAAAGGGAGCCUGGCUAUUUUUUUGCCUUCCACCAGCUCCUGCACCUGUUCGACAGAAUAUUUUAUAUGCAUGCAAAAAAAUAGAAAGUUAGACAUUCAUCCGUCACCUCUGUUUCUGCUGCUUGAACAUAACUAGCUGCUUAAAGAAUUACAUAAUAAUUGUAAAUCUGCAUAAAGAAACCCCCCACUGUAAAUGAAAUAUUUCUCAUAAAACUCUUUCCUUUAGUUUGGUCUAGUGGAAACUCAUUUAAAUUUGAUUUAUUGUGCCUUGGAAUUUAAGACUUUGGAUGAGAUUAAUGGGCUGUUUUCUGGUUACAUCAUCUUCAUGGAUUGCGAAGACAAGCCUACACUGAAAUCACAGAGGACAGUUUAGAUAUAGUCCCCUUGUUAAAAUAAUGGAAUGAUGGCUGUUUCCAAGUAACUCAAUAGGAUAACAUAACAGAUAGGCUGCAUAAGGAAUAAAUCUGAAAUUUCCACUUUAUAAUAAGGCCAAUUGCAGCAAUGUCCACAACAAAUGCUUUACAUUACAGCGACAGGCUGUAUAUCAUUAAAUACAUCAGACAUGACUCAUUUUCAGGUCUCUCUUCCGAUUGGCUGAAAAAAAACGUGUUUUUUUUUUGUGUGUGAGUGCCCCUAGACCAUAUUUUUGUGAAUUUCAGUGCGAUCCCCAGAGAGCUUUCCUUUAGCACAUUUCAAGUGGAUGUGAAUGUGAACGUGAAUGGGACAUGAAGUGAACACAGCACCAAAACAUUUAGGGGGAGAUUUUCAAAGGUAAAAAGGACAAUCAGACAUCCCACUCCCACUGCAAGUCAACAUAUGAAAGUUGUUUUUCAAGAGUUCCCCCUUACUACUUUGUAUUACAGUGUUGAGCAGAGGCCCUAUCAAGACGGAGCCCCACUUGUGCAAGGUACAUAAUAAAGUCGAUUCUAUUUGAAGGGUCAAAGGGACGAAAUCUGCAAUUUACACUCAGGCAAAACCCUCCUGCCACCCUCCAAUCGAAGUUACAUUGUUAACUGGUCACUGUGACUUCCAGAAUCCUGGACCCUAGAACACUGAUGAUUCAAUCCACAGUCGUUAAACACCAGGCAGCAGUAAAUCACCGAUCCUAUCCUGAAACCUGAAUCAUGUGAAACUGCUGGAUUAGGCUCCCCAAACAUUUUGCAGGAAUACUCGCAAAUUCCAGAAACUUUUGAAGGAAAAACUAAAACUCCAGAGGUGGAAAUUGUAUUAAGUUGCACCCAAUUUCUCAAAUGGACCAGAGUUUUGUGACUAUCCUUAAUUAUUCAAGAGCAGGUUUUGUUUCAUGCUACCUCUUAAUGCUGUACGGUUUGGGUUUUCUUGGCAGCAUGGAAAACAGAGGUCUCUGGCAAAUGCUACAUUUUGCUUAAUACACUUUCUUGCUCAGUUGCCAUUUGGAAAAAUUAUGAUUUAUUUCACUGGCCCAAUUUUUUUUUUAAAAUGGCAAACUUGGCCCAUUUCAGUGUUGGUGGUUUUUUGGACAGUCCUCAGAUUUUUUUAAGGCUAGACAGCGACUUGGACUACAUGCCUGCCAAGGGCAAUAAGAACUUCCUUUGUGUCUCUGUAUGGGCUGCUGAGUCCUUGGGACCAGAUGCAGAAAGAUAAGUGGGUGCUAUGCACCUGGUCAAUGCCCCACCUGGAGCAGGUGAGCAUGGAGCAGGCAGGCGGAUGGAUGGAACCAUGGCUCCUCCCACAACACAUGAGCUGGUGAAAAUAUACCAUGGGAGGUGGGGAAGAAUACAUUUGUUUCUGGUAUAUGCUAAGCAAGCAGCAAAUUACUGACACACAGCCAGCCACCCCUACCCUGGAGCAAAGGGGAAGCAGUGAGGAAACGGUGCCUCUGAAGCGCAUCUCUGAGGCACAGAAACAACGAGGAGUCUGGUGGCACAGCAACUUCUCCUGCGUGCUGCUUACAAACAACUCCUUGCUCAGGGCUGUGCCUAAACAAACAGAGCCAGGUCAUCCACUGGUGGAAAUGGGCGCAGCUUCACUGACUCCCAUGGAACUACACCCAUUUACACCAGCUGAGAAUCUCACCCUUAGAGAAUGCACUUCUGGAGCUUGAUGGGCUUUCGAUGAUGCUUGCCAGGGCCAAUAAUUCCAUAAAUCAAAGACGCGAGUUUGCUAAUCCACAUCCAGCCAGACCCCUUAGAUAUCCAGCAAUUGGAUUUGGAUGGGUUCCCACUAGAUUUCAGUCCCUGGGGUGAUCUAGUUUAGAAAGCAAAUUUCUGUACAGUGAAAUGUGUUUGGCAGCCCUGCUGCAAAUGAAGUUCAUCCUUAGGGCGCACGCAUGCACACACA